ACCCGUCACGCGCGCCGUCUCGCGACGCGCGUGACAAGCAGACACAACACCGUGCCUUGGGAAGAAAAGGGCACGUCAGGGCGUU
This 85-nucleotide small RNA is filed under the name Streptomyces sp. NRRL F-5122. RNAcentral describes it as "nrdJ RNA". It matches the Rfam family "nrdJ RNA". The record is from Rfam by way of RNAcentral. Lineage: Bacteria; Bacillati; Actinomycetota; Actinomycetes; Kitasatosporales; Streptomycetaceae.